Molecule: long non-coding RNA, 1482 nt
Filed under: Sus scrofa (pig)
Lineage: Eukaryota; Metazoa; Chordata; Mammalia; Artiodactyla; Suidae
Description: lncRNA (ENSSSCG00025061624.1, ENSSSCG00035004820.1)
Source: RNAcentral
GUGCGUCUGGGGAAUGUAACCGGGUAGAAUUGGAAUGAGAUGCCUGCAGAGACAGCACGAGGGGGUGAACCCUACACGCGCAUGGCAGCCUUUUUGUGCUCAGGCUACCAGAGAGCUCAUCAGCCCUACCCUUGGGGCCAUCUUAAACUGCCAGGGCUCCUGCAAAAAGCACAAAAAUGCAACACCCACGGCGCCAAACGGACUGCCAAAAGGCCACUUGUUUACAAAUCGAGUUGAAACAGAAGCCAGAGCGUCACCUUGUCUGACCUCAGCUGGGAGCAGGUGCUUCGGACGCUCCCGUCUGUGGCUGCUCCACCCAUGUCACAGAUGCCCAGGCGCUGCAUGUCCUGAUCUGGGAGUUACAAUAAACUGAGCGAGAAGAUGCUACGUCUAAUGAAGCCUAGAUGAUGUGGUCUCCUCUGCUGCCCUCAGCACUCACCCUUAGUGGACUUCCAGCACGUUCCACUGUGGAGAGAACCAAACACCUCCUUGCCAUCAGCUCCUAGUGUCACUUUCUCUCGGGGCAGCAAAGCCACUGAGACUCCCGGAGGCCUCGCUCCCUGCGUCCACGCUGUCGGGGGAGAGGUCUCGUGGAGUUCAUCCCUCAUCAGACGGCCUGGCUGCAAAGCGGCUGGGCCUGCAGGUCACAGGCCAGCUCCAGGCCUGUUUGGUCUGUGGCCCCUGAGAUUCACCUGGGAAGCCCUAAGGAGACCCGUGCUUCGCAGGGCAAAGAGGCAGGCGGGUCUGUCUGGUCCUCCUGGAGGGGGACAGGGAAGGGCCUUGGGACCAGCUGAAUCACCUGCUGGUACCCUCCCAGCCGUGCCAGGGUUGCGGCUGUCUGGAGGGGAAGGGUUUCCUCUUUAAAACGGCCCUGAAAGGUCCACAGUGCAUCGGGACGGCUCGGGCCGGGGCUCUCAGCCUCUCCUGGGCGCGGCGGAGUCACCGGGCAUGCGCAUUAAAGACAUAGGCAGCAGGUCUGGUCCAGGCGAGGCCCCCCCACCCCCACCGCUCCGAGGUGGCCUGGAGCCGGGAUGACGGAUGGCAUCAGGGUCCCCGGGCGCCUCACUCGGGGGUCUUGUGAGUGUGAGGCGCUGGCUGGGGUCCUUCCGAGGAGCUCGUGUGGGGCGCGUGACGGCCGGGGUCUGGCCGGGGCCCCACACGCCGCACUUGCCAUUAGAUGGGCUGAGAAGGGAACGGCGAAUCUUAACCUUUCACACCGAGGAAGCGGCUGCGGGAGACGAGGGACACCAGACGUCAAGUAACCUGACAUCCUCAGCCAUCGAAGAGAUUAGAUCAAGGAAUCUGGCCUGAUACGUUUACUGAAGAUCCGCUGGCGAACUCCUUAAAGAGAGACACAAGCAGAAUGAAAUGAAAACCAAAUCACUCCGCCUUCCAUCCUGUAAACCUCUUGGGAUUCCCAGAAGUUAGAUUAUUUGGUCUAUGACGCCAGAUGGCUUUGGAAUUUUGGAGAAGUAGUGUCCA